RNAcentral lists this ribosomal RNA (468 nucleotides) under uncultured bacterium. RNAcentral's name for it is "partial 16S ribosomal RNA". It matches the Rfam family "Bacterial small subunit ribosomal RNA", at positions 28 to 507 of the family's 1533-position model. The record is from RNAcentral.
GACGAACGCUGGCGGCGUGCUUAACACAUGCAAGUCGAACGGAAAGGCCCUGCUUUUGUGGCGUGCUCGAGUGGCGAACGGGUGAGUAACACGUGAGUAACCUGCCCUUGUCUUUGGGAUAACUCCAGGAAACUGGGGCGAAUACCGGAUAGGAGCUCCUGCUGCAUGGUGGGGGUUGGAAAGUGUCGGCGGUUGGGGAUGGACUAGCGGCUUAUCAGCUUGUUGGUGGGGUAGUGGAUUACCAAGGCUUUGACGGGUAGCCGGCCUGGGAGGGUGACCGGCCACCUGGGGACUGAGAUACGGCCCAGACUGCUACGGGCGGCAGCAGUGGAGAAUAUUGCGCAGUGGGCGGAAGCCUGAUACGGCGACGCCGCGUGCGGGAUGACGGCCUUCGGGUUAUAAACCGAUUUCGCCUGUGACGAAGCGUGCGUGACGGUAAUGGGUAAAGAAGCACCGGCUAACUACGUG